Molecule: ribosomal RNA, 516 nt
Filed under: Phoma sp. B 31-38
Lineage: Eukaryota; Fungi; Ascomycota; Dothideomycetes; Pleosporales; Didymellaceae
Description: eukaryotic LSU rRNA
Rfam family: 5.8S ribosomal RNA (bases 176-329)
Source: RNAcentral
GAGUCUAUUCAAUGAGGAGGAAUGUGACGGUUCAGGUAUGAGAUCGAGCGGCGGGAGCCAGCACUGAUCUAUUACGAGGCUGGCGGUAACGUUGCCUGCGGUGGGUCGCCCACCGAUUGGACAAACUUAAACCCUUUGCAGUUGAAAUCAGCGUCUGAAAAAACUUAAUAGUUACAACUUUCAACAACGGAUCUCUUGGUUCUGGCAUCGAUGAAGAACGCAGCGAAAUGCGAUAAGUAGUGUGAAUUGCAGAAUUCAGUGAAUCAUCGAAUCUUUGAACGCACAUUGCGCCCCUUGGUAUUCCAUGGGGCAUGCCUGUUCGAGCGUCAUUUGUACCUUCAAGCUCUGCUUGGUGUUGGGUGUUGUCUCCUGUAGACUCGCCUUAAAACAAUUGGCAGCCGGCGUAUUGAUUUCGGAGCGCAGUACAUCUCGCGCUUUGCACUCAUAACGACGACAUCCAAAAGUACAUUUUUACACUCUUGACCUCGGAUCAGGUAGGGAUACCCGUGAACUUAA